CCAACGAGCCGCUCUCAGCAAAAUCCUCCUCGGCUCGCUUCUUCACUUUUAUCCCGCCCCUCUGAUACUGCGCAAUCUCCCAAGGGUCGGCGGCUUUACUAAUGCGGCGUUCGUUCUUUUGGAAAAUGGUUCCACGGACAGUACCAGCCGUGGCGUUUAACUUCGCUUCUCCACUACUUAAAAGAUCUGCCGUUAGUGCCUCCCUCCCUUACGGAGAAUAUUUUCCAUUUAAACUCAGUCCCAGAAGAGAAGACGCUUUAGCCUGCUCGGAGGAAGACUAUACCACCCCGCUCUUGAGGAGGGGGGGGAUUUACUUCCUACUUUCUUCAUAAGCCCUCUUUGACAUUGUAUGUACGGUAGUAAAUGCGGGGUGCGAAUCUGUUCGUUUCUAAUGAAACGAUAAGCUUUAUGAAGUUUAUUUCGGCAAGGCGUUUUCGAUUCCUCUCCUCUCCAAACGAUUACCCUCUUCUUUCUAAAUAAGUAAUAAAGUUUAACAAGUUACUUUGUCUGUAGGGCUCCUGUGCCUCUAACAGGCAUGACAAUAAGUAAAAGAUCCUGAAAAAAAUCUUCAUUGGCUUCCGGCUUUUUGCGGAGUUUUCUAAGAUAAAGUACAGGACGGACUGGCUAGACACAUGCACCUGAGAAGGUGGAAUAUAACGUCUAACAUGCAUCAUUUAGUUUUUUCAGACCACAAGAUGCAUUUAAAAUAGCAUUUCAUCCAUUUAUUCUGAAUGUAGACAGUUUUUGCCCCCAGAAGGCUCUAUUUUCACUGAUUUCCAUGGUCUAUAAAACGUAUUUGAUAGGGUCCGUAUCUGGUCAGCACAAAUCUGCACAAUUCCAGUGGACAAAUCCGGACAUCCGUUAGGACAACUCCAGUGGGCCUAUCAUAUGCACAGGAAGAUUGUAGAUCUGAUGAGGAUUUUUCAUCAGAAGGUUGAUGAUUUUUCUUCUUAUGAUGAUCUAUGCCAUCCACAGGGGCAGGUCAUCUCCGUAUUCUGACUGUGAUUUUCGAAACCUUCUAGAUGGUGGUCUGCGUUUUAUUGAUCCUCGCGUCCUUACCUGAAAGUGGAUAAAGCUGUGAUUGAAAUAAGAACAUGACCUAGACCAGACAUCACUAAAAACAACCAACAGAACUGCAUUCAUUCCUUGACUAUUAAUUAUUCUUCAUAAGAUUAAUUUUUUGAAUUAUCAUUUCUUUCACAUCGAAGAACAUAUGAUUGUUCCUUAACAAAAGUAUUCCAAUGUUUUUUCAGUGCCAACUAGCAUUUUACAAGUACUUUGGCCAAUGUGGUUUUUGUUGUAAGAAAUUACAUCAUCUGAAAAUAGCCCCAAGCAAAGCUGGAAAGCUAGCAAUAGGAGCUAGGAAGCAAGGUGAACAAAAGAAGAAAGAAAAAACUGUCGGUGUUGCAAGCAUAUACUGAUUCAUGUAAUGAUAGCAAGUUAAAGGAAAUGGUACAUUUAAAGAAAUUUCAGUCUCACAAUCAUAUGUACAUUAAGCUAUAUGGGAAUUCCACAUAUUCAAAUCUAAGGAAUGUUGUUCUAUCUGGCUGUCAUUUGCCUAACAAUUAAAAAAAAUGAUAUUCUAACAUUUCCUCUUCUUAAAAAGGUUCCCAGGGCAGAAUUCAGGAAGCCACUUUAUACUAGGAAAAUCAUGUGCACUUCAAGAAUACUUUUUUAAAAGAUCAAAACUAUGCAAUGUAUUUAUUACUAUUAUAAAAUUCAACAAAUUAAAUUAAUAUUCCAGUCAAAUGAA
Crotalus tigris (Tiger rattlesnake) is the source of this 1753-nucleotide long non-coding RNA. RefSeq lists it as uncharacterized. Lineage: Eukaryota; Metazoa; Chordata; Lepidosauria; Squamata; Viperidae. The transcript has 3 exons. The record is from RefSeq and is a predicted model, not a curated record.